Molecule: long non-coding RNA, 11288 nt
Organism: Equus caballus (horse)
Lineage: Eukaryota; Metazoa; Chordata; Mammalia; Perissodactyla; Equidae
Source: Ensembl
AGAAGACGAACUCCAAGAAGGCGGCACCUUGUCCUCAACUGAGAUGCCAUUCACGCUUCUGGCACCAACUGUAAUUUUCCUCUGGAGAAUCCCUUACCUUCCUCCGCCCAUGUGUUUUCAGGGAACUAGAAGCUACUCUGGGCUCCAGUCUUUUUUUCUUAUUUUUUUUAAGGAUUAUUUAUUUAUUUUUAAAGAUUGGCACCUGGGCUAACAACUGUUGCCAAUCCUUUUAUUUUCUGCUUUAUCUCCCCCAAACCCCCGUACACAGUUGUAUAUCUUUAGUUGCAGGUCCUUCUAGUCGUGGGAUGUGGGAUACCGCCUCAACGUGGCCUGACGAGUGGUGCCAUGUCUGCACCCAGGAUCCAAACCCUGGGCCGCAGCAGCGGAGCGCGUGAACUUAACCACUCGGCCACGGAGCCGGCCCCCGGGCUCCAGUCUUGAAGACUGUGCACACACAGCUCAAACCAAUCAGCACAUUCCAUCUGUCUGGCUGGAAAGAUUGCCUUGUUAUGGGCAUACCGUUGAAGUCGCCUACCGGGAUGAAUGUGAUUCAAUUCUGGGACUUUUAUUUGAGCUUUUCUACAGGAUCUUAAGCCUGAGAGGAUGUUCAGGCUGGAGCUGCUGUUGCCAUCCUACCUCCACGUUAAGUUUAUCAGAAAGGAUGGAAGGCUGAGCCCAGAAAUAGAGAAAAUGGAAUCCUGAUGGGCUCCAAAUCCUGUCAUGUCCAAUUCGGGACAACCAUGGAAUUUUCACUUACAUGGACCUACAAAUAUCGUUCUUAAGGAGCCCCAAAUUGAAUUCUGAUUGAUAAUACAGAGAAGCCAGAGAAGCAUAAGGUCUUGGCUCCUGAGAAAUAAAAGCUUCCAUCAAGGCCUACAACAGUGGCAACAGUUGGUUUCAUUGAAUUGGAAGCUGGCUCCCUGUUAUGCUCUGCUAAUAGGGGAUGCUAGAGAGGAGAUGCAAGCCUGGAGGAGAAAGAAGAGAAUGCAUCUUCCUGUAUGCUUCUAGUUCCUGUGUGAGCGGUCCUAGCCGUGAUUCUUAAUUUCAGGAGUGACUAGGCCUUCCCAUAGCAGCAGGUGGCAGCACUUCUCAUGGUCCUGUGGCCUCUCCGCAUUUCAGCUUUUCUGAAGGAUCUACCUACAUCUCUUGGAACUAACUCCUUGGUUGGGCCCCUCAUGGUAGAGUUUUGUGAGUGCCAUAUGGCCGCUAUUUGAAGACAGACCAGCUCAAAUAUACCUUUCAAACUGGAAGACAAGCUGGACCACAUCUUCAGCAGCUGUGGGAGAUGACUGACUGCCUAUUCCUUUGAGCGACAUAAAUGAUGAAUCCACACAAAGGACCCUGUUAGUGGAUGGCUCUUGGCUAUUGUCUAUUACCCUGGGACAAAGAAAAUAGGCUGAAAGACUUGGAGAAGCAUAAGAACAUUAGAACACAUGAUGGUGACCAGGGCCCUAAAUGGAGAUCAUGGGCUCCUUUCCCUGGAAGCCUGUUGGCGCUGGAGGGCCCCUAUCUACUCAGAGAGUAACCUUUGCUUGCAUUUAUACCAAACUUCCACACCCACGUCAGAACUGGAAUCCUUGAUCCCCCAUUGCCCGGACGAAAGUAAUUAUUGAACUUGUCCACUGAAACCAUCCUCUCAUGCCCAAAUGCAGUCAGUAGCCACAAGAAAAGAAGACAUUGAACUUCAAGAAGUUGGUUUGCAGUCUGGACUUGCAGCUCUAAACUCCACCCACCACAGUGAAAUUUUGGAUGGCAGCUGCUCAGGCAAGUGGGUUGACUGGGCUUUGACCUGGGUUUGUAAAUCAGGUUAACACUCCUGUUGUUACUGCUGCCCAUAGGAAGACAUUUUUUCUGGGAUGCUCUUCACUUAAAACAAACGCCACCCUUUAAACCCAUUAAUAGCUACUUCUAUAAUAGGAGUGAGAAUGAAAAUCUCUGAUUUUGAGAGUGUACAAAGAAGCGGCAGGUUACUCAGCUGCUGGAAGUAAUUGCUAUUUGUAUAUUCAAAAUACUCAAAUGUUCACCUAUAUGCCAUCCGGGACCUCAUUAGAAUAAGUUCGUCUAUUGUUCCUCAAUCAUUUUUCACUGUAACUCUAAAUUGGUUAUUUGAAUUCUUUCAAAGAAUGCUAUGGUUGGAUUACUUGGGGAUCUGGGUAUAAAAUGCAAUCUGUCCAGUGUUUAUAUGUAAUCUUAUCGGACCAUAUCUAACUGAAUGGUAGGAAUUAGAGGUAAUGGAUCAAAUCAAUUAUUUACCCUCCUCCAAAGUAAUAUGAUAAACCAGCAGAACAGUGUGAAAAUAUAGGGAAUUUAGUUAAUGGUGCUUUUGAUUAAGAAGAGAGCAGAAAAAUAAAAAGAAAAUGACAAAAACAACAGAAAAGAAGGCAUGUUUCCAGGAAAUCUUUUUUUCAGUAGUCCAUUUUGAUGUGCCAAAUUUUGGCUGUUUAUAUUCAAUGCAUUGUGACUACUGUUCAAGUCAAUGGUUUAGUAAUUUAAUUGUCAAUUUUGAGAAACAACCAUCAGGUAACACGUGGAGGCUGGUCACACCUGAGCAAGGUGUGUGCACCACGAGGAUCCACCACCCUGAGUGUCCAGGAAGGCCCCGGGAGAUAGAUGCCAGGCAGCAUUCCUCCAGAGAGAGCACUGUGAUCCUUGGGGACUCAUUUCAGGAAAGGCAGCUGCACGUCUCUGUCAGGGAUGUUUGGGCGAAGCCAUAUUUCCUCAGCUUCUCCAAGAGUGGAGGGACCUUUUCCUGAAGAGUCUGACAGGAUUUGUUUGGGCUAAGAGAUCUGAAUCCAGGGCUCCAAGUUGCUUUUUAGAUUUUAAGAAGCAUGAUUUUCAAAUGCCUACCAUGGAGUUCCUUCUCAGACAUCUCUGUAGUGACACAUUUAUGAGCACAGAGUAGGCAUUUAUUAGUGGUCUGUUGUUUACUGAACAGUAGUAAUGCAACGCAUUAAGGAAUUGUAUAUGGAAGGUUAAGGAACUGUACCUGGAAGGUGAGAAAAAUGGAAUGUUGGAAAAACAAAACAUUUCUUUGAAUGGCCACCAUAUGGAAGGAUCUAGAUGGGAAUUCAUCUAGUGAAGGGCAGCCAGGUUGUUGUUAUGUCCCCUUCCUUUCCUUUCUGUUGAGUUUCUCAGGAAAGAAAUUUAAGAGGGAGGAACAAGUGUAGAGAUCCAGGAAGUGUGAUGGGCUAUGGGUGGGGUGGGAGACAGAUGAAGGAAGCAACUGACUUAUGGAAUGCCCUUGCAUUUUAUUUCUUGUCUUCCUAGGAUUGGUUUCCUUCACAUUUGUGUAUGUGGGGUUCAGAUUAUGUCUCAGAGCUCUCAGGAGGAUUUGAUCAGACAAACUUACCCUUAACUCCAGUAUUGGGGAAUGGUGCUGGAUUUCCCAUUUGCUGACUUUUUAAGAUCACUCUUCUUUCUUUCUUUAUGCACAUUAUGAAAAAUUUAAAAAACAUAGGGAACAGGAAAAAAAGAAUUCUUGCAAUUCCAUUAUUCAAAGUAAGCCUUUGUUAAUGGUUGUGUCCCUUUUUCCAGUCUGUGUUUUUUCCAUAUAUAUGUAGAGCAUAGGGUCAGGACUAUAAUAUCUUUGGAGUCAGGAGGGUCUCAACUCAAGUACCUGUUCUCUCUACCAGCUGUGUGAACCUGAUAAGUAACUUAGCUUGGCUGAGUCUUUUACAUGGACUGAAUAUAAAAAUACCUAUAUUAGAUGGUGACUGUAAGAAUUAAAUGAGCUUAUGUGUGAAAGUUACUUAUGUUUUAGCUAACAUUAAUAUGGUAGCUAAUGUUAACACUAUUAGAAUUGUGAUAAUAUAGGAUACAUGCCAUUUCUUGCUUUUUCCACUGAACAUUAUAACCUGUUUUCUAGCUUAUUAUAAACUCAAUACAAUCAUUUUUUGCAAGUACAUAAUAUUUUAUUGCAUAUUUUACCAAAUUAUCAUAUUUUAGCACAUGUAAUUUCCUUUAAAUUGUGUACUAUUUUAGGAAUUUUUUUAUUCUAGAAAAUAUCAUCAAAAAGUAGAGGAUAGCAGUAGAGAUAAUAGGAAAAUUAUAUGAAAGGAGAGAAAAGAAGAAAAUAAAGAAUUCAAUCUGCUACUACAUGCAGUCUAAAACACACAAAAACUUUUCAAAUUUAAUAACUUAUUUUCACAUCUUGUAUUUUUAUUCAUGGAAAAUUAUUGCAAAUUAACGGAAUGGCAAGUUGGUUGUAAAAACCUCAUCAUGGUUGGUGAGAAAGAAUGCUUGCUAGCAAUCGAUGAAAAAGCAAAUAGUUUUGGAAGUACUUUAGUUGGAAGCAGUCAAAAUGAAACCAUAAAUCUUUGGAUUGAAGCUCCUCCUUAUUGUUGUCCUCGAGAACCAUAUACUUCUGCCAGAGAUCCAUCGUCCACGCCCCUGUCCCAUGUUGCUCACUUCUGAAUCCGUGCCACACAGGUGCAUUCCAUUUGGAGAAGCUAAAUCCCAAGGAAGAAAGUAGUCCCUAGACACAAAGUAGUCUGGGAUUGCAAAUUUUCUGGGCUAAUUGCAUAAAAAAUUACCACAGUGUUGGCAGAUGGUAUAAAGUUAUUUUACACCUGUUAAAGGUAAUGAAUGUCCACCAUUAGGUUUUUGGGAGGAGGGUAUUAGCUAAUGAUAAACAUCUUUUCACUUUCUGAUAUGAGGGAAACCCACAAUGUCACCUCUUGGGUUUACGGUGGCGAAGAAAAGUCUUUUACCGCCUUUGUGGUCUCUACGAAAUGUCUGGACUCUUGAUGUUGGGACAACCAGGGUAAUGAAGUUUUGUAUGUUGAAGGACCCCAAAUAGAGGAGCUUGUGCCAAUAGGGGAGCUUAAAUUUAAUUUGAUAGAUAUUUAGUGAGUACCUAUUUAUGUGCCAGGACUUAUAGAGGGAUUGAUCAUCCUUUAAUCUUCCUAAUUUCAUACUCUUCAUGCCUCUGUUGCCAACCAGCCUUCUAGAUCUGCAGUAACAACUGCCAAAUCUUAGUGACUUGCAACCACACAGGUUGAUUUCUUACUCACCAACAUGGGACCUAGGCUGAAGAAUGACCUCUAUUGGAACCUUGUGGGUUUGAGGCCCAAAGUGAAGAAUUGUGGUGGAACCAUGCGAUGGCUAUUUAAGCUUUUGCUGAGAACUUGUCCACAUCACUUCUGCUCACAUUCAUUAGUCAGCACAGGCAUAAUUGCCAAGUCUGAUAUCAAUGGUGUGGGGAUAUAUAAUCCUUUCUCAGGGAGUGGUAUUGAAAAAUUGAGAAUAAUAAUGUAAUUUGCCGCAUUACGUGUCAGGUUGGCAUCCUCCUCUGGAGUAACUGUGGCUCUUUUUUCAGAGCUGACUCCCAGAACUAAACAUGAAUAUUCCUUGUGUGGUCUGGCCAGUACAACAUACAGAGGUGCUAUAUAACCCUUUCCUCAGUCCUAAUAUUAAGCUUUUAUAAUAAAGCCUAACAUUGUAGUAGAUUUUGUUUAUUUUUAGUGGCCAUAUCACACUGUUAUGACCCAUCGAGACUGCUGUCAUCUGAAACCUUGGGUCUUUCCCAUUCCCACAUAUUUGUGCUCCAUCCUAUGCUGCCCCUCUUCUGUCCUUUGAUGUUAACCCCAAUUUGGACCAUAUAUCAGGAGUAAGCUAGUGGCUUCACACAUCAAGCAACUUUACAGAGAGGAAACAUUUCCCCGCUUGUGUGAUUUCCUCAAAGAUCCUUCAGAAUCCCUCUAUCUCACCUGUUAUGGAUUGAAUUGUAUCCUCCUAAAUUCCUGUGUUGAAGCUCUAACCCCUAAUGUGACUGAAUUUGGAGAUAGAGCCUUUAAAGAGGUAACUAAGGUUAAGUGAGGUCACAAAGAUGGAGCUCUAAUCCGAUAGGACUGCUGUCCUUAUACGAAGAGGAAGAGACGCCACGGGUCUGGAAGCACAGAGAAAGGCUAUGCGAGGACACGGUGAGAAGGCAGCCUCAGCAGAAAGCAAUCCUGCAAGAACCUUGAUCUUGAACUUCUGACCUCCAGAACUGUGAGAAGUAAAUGCCUGUUGUUUAAGCCCUCCAGUCUGUGGUAUCUUGUCGUGGCAGCCUGAGCAGACUAAUCCCCCACCCUACCCACCCUGCAUGCUCACGCAUGUGCACACAAACGCACACUCACACAUACUGUGAUGAGAGAAAGAAGGAGUACCUGGCCGAUCUACCUUGUAUCUUUGCCAAAAUUAUGACUCUAUGGAGUGUUCUUUGUGAAAUGUACCAAUUAAAGAAACACACAUAUUACAAAAAGGAUCUUUAAUUUAUAAGUAGUAGGCAUGACAUAAGCGUUUAAAAAUCACUGUGACUAAUAGCUACAGCUAAAAGGCAAGGGGAGGAAACUGCAGGGGAAGGAAAGAGCUAAAAUUAACUUGAAGGAAAAAUGGAUCUCCCAUUAAGCAUUAGAAGGCUAAGAUGAGUCCACCCUGUUGUUAUUCCAGGCCCUCACCUGUGUUACCCAUCACCAAACUGAUGAUUUCCUUUCUUGAGUGCCGGCCUUUUCAGUACUCUGCUUCCUCUAACCACUGCUCAGUGUGCCCUAGGCUUAUCCUGAGCCACUUUAGUUCAUGCCCCAUCUGAGGAACUCUUCACGGUACUCAGGGGAGGCCAGGGGUCUGUUCUGUAUAGCUAUGUGGAGAUUUUAAAUGUCCUGGGUGAUUAACAAGACAAGAAAUAACAAGUGUUGGAGAGGAUGUGGAGGAAAGGGGACCUUCAUACACUGCUGGUGGGAGUGCAAACUGGUAUAGCUGCUAUAGAAAACAGUAUGGAGAUUUCUCAAAAGCUUAAGAAUAGAACUACCAUGCGAUCCAGCUAUUCCACUGCUGGGUAUUUAUCUGAAGAACAUGAAAACACAAAUGCGUAAAGAUACAUGCACCCCUAUGUUCAUUGCAGCAUUAUUCACAAUAGCCAAGACUUGGAAGCAACCUCGGUGCCCAUCAAGAUACGAAUGGAUAAAGAAGAUGUGGUACAUAUACACAACGGAGUACUACUCAGCCAUAAGAAAUGAUGAAAUCUGACUAUUUGUGACAACAUGAAUGGACCUAAGGGUAUUAUGCUAAGCGAAAUAAGUCAGAGGGAGAAAGUCAAAUGCCAUAUCAUCCCACUCACAAAUAGAAGAUAAAAACAACAACAAACAAAAAUAUAGAGACAGACGUUGGAUUGGUGGUUACCAGAGGGGAAGGGGGAAGGAAAGAGGGUGAAAGAGGUGAUUAGGCACAUGUGUACGGUGAUGGGUUGUAAUUAGUCUUUGGGUGGUGAACAUGAUGUAGUCUACACAGAAUUCGAAAUAUAAUGAUGCCCAUUUGAAAUUUAUGUAAUGUUAUAAACCAUUGUUACCUCAAUUAAAAAAAAAUAAAUGUCCUAGGCAUUCUUCAAGGAUUCCCAGGAGAUUUUAAAGCACAUUUAUCCCGGGAACUCCACCCCAAACUUUGAAAACGUGUUGCUAUACACAUAUGAAUCAAUGCAUCCCAUAGUUUAUUUUAUGACUUGAACUUGCCUUCUCUUUAGUGUUGUCUACUCUUGUCAGUACUUCUGGAUGUUAAUGUAUGCAGCAUUCUGGGCCUAAGAAGGGCACUAUUUCUGGUUUGGACAUCGGCUAUUCACUUACUUUCUAAGCCUACCAUUGUCUUGCCAAAUUAUAAAUGGAAAGGUUGAAGUCAUCUCAGCUCCUCAAGCCACACUGUGUUUCAAAUCAAGUCAAAUCAAAACAAUAAGCCCCACCUGCAAGCUAAUUAGAUAGGUGUGGUUUGGGAUGCAGAGAAACUUAAAUUACAGUCUUUGGCUCCAAGGAAUUGAUGGUCUAACCCUAAACUAGGGGCUUGCAUCUUUCUAACCUGAAGAAAAUGGGAGAUCAAAAUAAGACAUUUCAGAAAGAAAGGAAAGUGAUCAUCACUAGUCUUGGGGGGUGGGUGCUGGUGAUGGAUGAAGUGAAAAGUUAACAACGUGACAGAGCAAAUGAGAGCCCAAGUCCUGGAGUCAGUGUUUGGGGUAUGUCCAGGGGUAUUCCCACUCACAUCGGGUUCUCAGACUCUCUCAGUUUCUGUUUCCCUGCUGCAGUAUGGAAAUAACAAGAGCCAAUCUACCAGACAGUGUUGUGAAAGGCAAUUAAAUGGGAUAAUAUGGAUAAAGGGCUUCAUAGGUGCUUGUUCUGGAAUAACUUCUCAAUAAAUUUUAGGACAGUUUGCUUUUUGCUUCUGAAUUUAAGAUGCAUUUCUCCAUAGGUACUAUUUUCAGAAUAAAUCACACAUUUUUCUUUAUCUUUAUAUGAGCUAUAUUUUUAAUUUAAUCGAGGCCCUCAAGUGUGUUAGGAGGGAGAAGAAAGUUUUUUCAUUCCUUAUGCAGGACUUUGCUAUCCUCCUGUUCAUUUUUUUUUUUUUUUUUAAAGAUUUUAUUUUUUCCGUUUUCUCCCCAAAGUCCCCCGGUACAUAGUUGUGUAUUCUUCGUUGUGGGUUCUUCUAGUUGUGGCAUGUGGGACGCUGCCUCAGCGUGGUUUGAUGAGCAGUGCCAUGUCCGCGCCCAGGAUUCGAACUAACGAAACACUGGGCCGUCUGCAGCGGAGCGCACGAACUUAACCACUCGGCCACGGGGCCAGCCCCUGUUCAUUUUUUUUUAACAUCAGGAAUGAAAAGAGGGAAGCCAGCCCCACCUGCGAGUCUGGGGCCGGGGGAGCUCAUAGUUCUGUUCCUGAUGGUCAUGUUGCUCCCUCUCUUUACAUUCUAAACCUCAUGAUUCUCUAAAAUCUCUCAAUUUCCUGAGUUUCCCUUCUCAUGGAGGCGGUGGCACAACCCCCUGUGUGGUCUGAGCUGGGGAUGGGAUUAAGAUUGAUUAAGAAUAAGGCUAUCUACAAGAAUCUGCCAUUUAUAAGUUGGGGGUUUGUCAGUUGUCUCUGUAUACGAAUGGUAAGUUGAAAGCAUAUAAACUAAAUUUCCACAAAAAGUGUUUGGUGGUUGAAUUGUCACUUUUUUUUGUGGGCAUGUGAGAGUUUUUCGCUUGGGCACAAGGAAUAAUUCUAGAUUAAUGUUUAAGUGUCAAUAAUUUUUCUUGCCAUAUUUUAAAAACAAUAUCGUAGAAUGAUACCCAUAUUCAUUCCGUGUCUCUUUUUUGUGUGUAUAUUUUUCUCUUUCUAUAGCCUAGAACAUUUUCUUCUUGAUUUCAUCACCUUUUAUAGCCAAGAAGUAAUUCCUUUCAAUCGAUUAAAUUGCAAGGCUGGAAAUCAUAAUUAUAUUACCACAGAUAUCAUUAAAAAUACAUACAACUGGAUAACAACAACAAAACAUCCCUUUAACUGCAUUUUUCUUUGUUCCUUAUCCACAGAGGAAAUAAAUUCCAAGUACUUAAUUUUAAAAGGUGAAGUUGGCUAGCCUUAGGGUUAAAACUCAUGGUAGAUAUUAAAUUGGCUAGAAAGCCAAGCAAUUGAUUGUGUACCUAAGUUCUAAAUUAACAUGCUCUUUAUAUAAAGAUAGAGUCACACAAUCUUUGCCUUUAUUAUCUUCUCUAUGUUGUGUGUGUGUGUGCGUGUGUGUGUGUGUGCGUGUGUAUGUGGUGUCUUAGGCUCUAAUGAAACCAUAAAAAGAACGAAACUUCACAAAUUUCAUAAAAGGUAAAUGUACAGAGAAUUGUAGGUGUUGUGUUAAUAACUUUACACGAUACAUGUUGCUUCUCAGGUAGUUGCAUCAACACUAAAACAAUAGUCAGUUGUGUCACUCAGGCAUUUAUUUUACUUCAAUUUUUGUGGCUGCAGUGUACCAAGAUUCUAGAAAAAAAGGAAAGGCAGCUAAAUUACAGAAACUAAAACCUUUCUCAGUUUCGAUUUAUUUAAAUUCCUUUGAGAUCCAAUGAUUUUUCUAGAUCCACUCUGUAUUCAAGUCCACCAGACAAGGAAUCCUAUCAUUUUGAAUUCAAUAAUGUUAUUUUCCAAGAGGAUUUUUUUCAGAGGGAGUCUUUUAACUCUCUUUGUCCUGAUUGCUUAUGCCCUUUGUUGUUUAUAAUGAGUAAACUGCAAUUGAGGGCACGCCUACCCACCAAACACGGCUGAGAAAAGUGGUUAAUAGGAUUCACAACAAAUAAGAAUAUUGUAGCAAAUGUGAGCUUUUAAUGCACUAACACAGUGGUGUUCAGGGCAAAUGAACAGAGGCUGCUCUUUGUCAGAGGGAAGGACUGUUAUUGGUGAAUGGGAGGCAUUAUGUAGUAGUGAUUUGGAUGUAUAUCAGAUCACUCGCCUUGUGAAUCAUUGUCAGAUGCGCCCACAUCCCUAGCUGACUCUUCUCUGUCCCAUUCUUUCCAAGGUAGCAUUACGGGCCAGCAUUGCAUCCAGCUGGGUGCUGAGUCAGCUUCUAUAUUGGCAAAUGGGAGCAAUUCAAAUUGUUUACAUUUGACUGGAAAAACAAGAUUUAAAAUUUUUAUUCUUAAGCUGUGUAGUCAGAGGAAAAAGAUAUUAUUUAGGCUUUAGGUUCUACUUAUCAUAUAGAUUCAUUGAUUUAUACUAUUUGCUAUGGACUGAAUUGUGUCCUCCCAAAAUUCGUAUCUUGAAGCCCUAACAUCCAAUAUGCCUGUAUUUGGAAAUAGGGCUUUUGAAGAGGUAAUCAAGGUUAAACGAAGUCAUAAAGGUGGAAUCCUAGUCCAUUAGGAUUGGUGUCCUUAUAAGAAAAGGAAGAGACACCAGGGGUGUGCAUGCACAGAGAUAAGGCCACGUGAGGACACAGUGAGAUGGCAGCUGUCUUGCAAGCUAAGGAGAGAGGCCUCAGAAGAAACCAGCCCUGUUGACACCUUGAUCUUGGAUUUUCAGCCUCCAGAAUUGUGAGAAAUAAAUGUCUGUUGUUUAAGCCCCCAAGCCUGGGAUUUUGUUAUGGUAGCCCUAGCAGACUAAUACACUAUUGAUGAGUAAUUCCAAAGAAAUUUCGUAUUCAAAAAUGAGUCUGUUGUAUUUAUUUCUACCAUUUGUACAUAUGGUUGAGUAUUGUUAGCAAGCUGUCCUCUUAUUUGUUGAAAAUAAUAUAUCCUAUGCCUAAUGGCUUUGAUGAGGAUUUUUAGGCUGCUUAAUUUUAAAACGGUUUAUGAUGAGGACUUUUAGGCUGGUUACUUUUAAAACUACAGAUGAGAAGCAGGCUCCAAGGAGUGGAAUUUGCUUGCUUGUCCCUUUGUUGGGAAAGAUUUACAUUUCUAAGGGAAACCUCUAUCUGUAAAGAUGCCUCCCUCUCUGUGCCAGGAAGAAGGGGGAUGGCCUUAUCUCUAGAAACUCUUAAUGCCAGAGGCAAGAACUUAAGUUGGUUGCUGUCUGGCAAUCUCAUGUAACUGAUUU